AACGAACGCUGGCGGCAGGCCUAACACAUGCAAGUCGAACGCUGAAGCUGACUUCGGUCAGUGGAAGAGUGGCGGACGGGUGAGUAACGCGUGGGAAUCUGCCUGACAGUACGGAACAACCUGGGGAAACUCAGGCUAAUACCGUAUAUUCCUUUCGAGGGAAAGAUUUAUCGCUGUCAGAUGAGCCCGCGUCAGAUUAGUUAGUUGGUAGGGUAAAAGCCUACCAAGACAAUGAUCUGUAGCUGGUUUGAGAGGACGAUCAGCCACACUGGGACUGAGACACGGCCCAGACUCCUACGGGAGGCAGCAGUGAGGAAUAUUGGACAAUGGGCGCAAGCCUGAUCCAGCCAUGCCGCGUGAAUGAUGAAGGUCUUAGGAUUGUAAAAUUCUUUCACCGGGGAAGAUAAUGACGGUACCCGGAGAAGAAGCUCCGGCUAACUCCG
Molecule: ribosomal RNA, 443 nt
Filed under: uncultured Alphaproteobacteria bacterium
Lineage: Bacteria; Pseudomonadati; Pseudomonadota; Alphaproteobacteria
Description: bacterial SSU rRNA
Rfam family: Bacterial small subunit ribosomal RNA
Source: RNAcentral